Long non-coding RNA from Oncorhynchus keta (chum salmon), 1445 nucleotides. RefSeq lists it as uncharacterized. Lineage: Eukaryota; Metazoa; Chordata; Actinopteri; Salmoniformes; Salmonidae. The record is from RefSeq and is a predicted model, not a curated record. The transcript is spliced from 2 exons.
AUUACUGAGAGGCGCAGGUUACUGUUCCGUUUGACCUUCUGCUUUGUUGACAAUAUUACUGAGAGGCGCAGAUUACUGUUCUGUUUGACCUUCUGCUUUGUUGACAAUAUUACUGAGAGGCGCAGAUUACUGUUCCGUUUGAUAAAACGGGUUCAACCCGUCCAGCAUAAAAUAACUCUGUCGCUUAUAUCAAUUUAAUUCAAAAGGGCUUUCCACCACAAUUACGUCCACCCCCACUGCCGCUUUUGUUCGCCAACCCGGAAGUAGAUUUCCCUCGGUCCUCAGAAGACAUUUUGAAUGAGAAAGAAGUCACGCAGAAACAUGAAUGUUGAAGAGUGUUUUUAAAGUGUAAUUUUUCCCUCCAAAUGUACAAACUACAGCCACAGAGUUACUGUACUGUCUUUGCUACAGCUGUUUAUCACCUAACGGCUAAUAUUUUGGCGACGGUGAAUAUAUUUGGUUCAGUGGAAAAGACAGUGGUAGUCGUGUUGUGAAAACCAAGGCUUCUGAGGCCUUGGGGGCUUUCACUAAACUGAGCUGAAAAACGGUACAUUACUCUGAGCUUUUAACACAAUGCACUCCAUCCAACCUCACUGAGCUCGAGCUGUUUUGCAAGGAGGAAUGGGAAAAAAUGUCAGUCUCUCGAUGUGCAAAACUGAUGGAGACAUACCCCAAGCGACUUACAGCUGUAAUCGCAACAAAAAGUAUUAACUUAAGGGGUCUGAAUAAUUUUGCACGCCCAAUUUUUGAUUUGUUAAAAAAGUUUGAAAUAUCCAAUAAAUGUCGUUCCACUUCAUGAUUGUGUCCCACUUGUUGUUGAUUCUUCACAAAAAAAUACAGUUUUAUAUCUUUAUGUUUGAAGCCUGAAAUGUGGCGAAAGGUCGCAAAGUUCAAGGGGGCCGAAUACUUUCGCAAGGCACUGUAUCUGGUCAUGGUUGCAAUACUUAGUCAGGUGGGAUAAAGUACAGUAUAUAGCUAACAACUGUAGAUAUUCUGUUAUAUUGAUUCCUAUCUCAUGUCAGUACCUUUUCUAGUAUUUUUGAGGAAGAGAAUGGUAGAGUAAGCAAACAAACACCCUUUAAAUCAAUUAAUUGUCUCUCUCCAGCUGCUGGUGUGGCUUUAAACCAGAACUUGAUGUUCAUCGCUGGAUGUUUCCUGGCAGCAAUCGCCAUGGUGUUGGUGGAGUGGUCAUCUACAGAUCCAGACAGUCAGAGGUCAAAUGUCAACCACUAGCUGAUCAACCAUGAGUGGGUAAAUCACAAUACUGACCUUAGAUUUAGUGACUAGUGGACAACUUUAUCCCCUGCUGACCCCUCAACGCCAUUUGUGAAAUAUCAUCUUAAACUGAUGCUUUAAUGAGGAGCGUGGUUUCAUGAACAACUAAAUUGAACUGUUUUUUUUUUUAGAGAGAUAAACAAAUAAAUAAAAAUGACAAUCAAGAUUUC